This 217-nucleotide long non-coding RNA is filed under the name Lathyrus oleraceus (garden pea). RNAcentral describes it as "Pisum sativum (pea) long non-coding RNA (PSAT_LNC018992)". Lineage: Eukaryota; Viridiplantae; Streptophyta; Magnoliopsida; Fabales; Fabaceae. The record is from RNAcentral.
UGUAACAAUUUUCACAUAGUGAUCGUGUUUUUUUCUCCGAUUUUAUAGUUUCCACGUUAUGUUCUUCUAUUGUGAUUGUGUUCUUCUUUUUUUUUCUAUAUUUAUUUUUUCAACAACAUCUUCAAAAUUAAGUAUAAUAAAGAUAAUACACUCGUUUCUGUUCAAUUUUAUAAAAAAAUAGGUAGUGUUUGAAGAUGAAUAUCCAAAUUGUAAAAAU